Molecule: non-coding RNA, 953 nt
Filed under: Oreichthys cosuatis
Lineage: Eukaryota; Metazoa; Chordata; Actinopteri; Cypriniformes; Cyprinidae
Description: 12S rRNA
Rfam family: Bacterial small subunit ribosomal RNA
Source: RNAcentral
CAAAGGUUCGGUCCCAAUCUUAUUAUCAGCUCUAAUACAACUUACACAUGCAAGUCUCCGCAUCCCAGUGAAUAUACAUCAACCCCCACCAAGGAACGAAAAACGGGUAUCAGGCACAACUUACCCUUAGCCCAAGACACCCAGCCCAGCCACACCCCCAAGGGAAUUCAGCAGUGAUAAACAUUAAACCAUAAGUGAAAACUUGACUCAGUUAGUGUUAAAAGAGCCGGUAAAACUCGUGCCAGCCACCGCGGUUAGACGAGAGGCCCUAGUUGAUAAUUAUACGGCGUAAAGAGUGGUUAGGGUCAAACAAAAUAAAGCUAAAUAGCCCUUCGGCCGUUAUACGCUUCUAGGUGCCCGAAACCCAUUAUACGAAAGUAGCUUUAAUUAAAUAUUCCCGAUUCCACGAAAGCUAAGAAACAAACUGGGAUUAGAUACCCCACUAUGCUUAGCCAUAAACCUAGGCAUGCAAAUACAAUUACAUGCCCGCCAGGACAUUACGAGCAUUAGCUUAAAAUCCAAAGGACCUGACGAUGUCUCAAACCCCUCUAGAGGAGCCUGUUCUAGAACCGAUAAUCCACGUUUAACCUCACCACUCCUAGCUAUUUCAGCCUAUAUACCACCGUCGUCAGCUAACCUUGUGAGAGUAAAAAAGUAAGCAAGAUGGGCAUAACCCAGCACGUCAGGUCCAGGUGUAGCGCAUGGAGUGGAAAGAAAUGGGCUACAUUUUCUAAUACAGAACAUUACGAAUAUAUACCAUGAAACAGUACUUGAAGGAGGAUUUAGAAGUAAAAGGAAAUAGAAUAUUCCUUUGAAUCCGGCCAUGAGACGCGUACACACCGCCCGUCAUUCUCCCCAUUAAAACGCACCAAAAAUACUUAAUACUUUAGCAUUAAUUAGGGGAGGGAAGUCGUAACACGGUAAGUGUACCGGAAGGUGCACUUGGAUCAAAC